AUUGAACGCUGGCGGCAUGCCUUACACAUGCAAGUCGAACGGUAACGGGCCUUCUGGUGCCGACGAGUGGCGUACGGGGGAGUAAUACAUCGGAACGUGCCCGAUCGUGGGGGAUAACGAGGCGAAAGCUUUGCUAAUACCGCAUACGAUCUACGGAUGAAAGCAGGGGACCGCAAGGCCUUGCGCGGACGGAGCGGCCGGUGGCAGACUAGGUAGUUGGUGGGGUAAAAGCUUACCAAGCCGAAGGUCUGGAGCUGGUCUGAGAGGGUGAUCGGCCACAUUGUGAGUGAGGCAGGGCAGAGACUCCGAGGGGGAGCCACGGUGGGGAAUUUUGGGGGAGGGGGGCGAGGGUAAUCCUGCCAAGCCGGGGGAAGGAUGAAGGACCUAGGGUUGGUAAAUGAUGUUGGUCGGAGGAUAGUACCUUUCUUUAAUACAGGAGGAUAAUGACGGUACCGGAAGAAUAAGCACCGGCUAACUACGUG
Molecule: ribosomal RNA, 482 nt
Filed under: uncultured bacterium
Lineage: Bacteria
Description: partial 16S ribosomal RNA
Rfam family: Bacterial small subunit ribosomal RNA
Source: RNAcentral